RNAcentral lists this ribosomal RNA (162 nucleotides) under Gitara nicaraguensis. RNAcentral's name for it is "5.8S ribosomal RNA". It matches the Rfam family "5.8S ribosomal RNA". From Rfam's summary of the family: 5.8S ribosomal RNA (5.8S rRNA) is a component of the large subunit of the eukaryotic ribosome. It is transcribed by RNA polymerase I as part of the 45S precursor that also contains 18S and 28S rRNA. Functionally, it is thought that 5.8S rRNA may be involved in ribosome translocation. The record is from RNAcentral. Lineage: Eukaryota; Viridiplantae; Streptophyta; Magnoliopsida; Malpighiales; Euphorbiaceae.
AACGACUCUCGGCAACGGAUAUCUUGGCUCUCGCAUCGAUGAAGAACGCAGCAAAAUGCGAUACUUGGUGUGAAUUGCAGAAUCCCGUGAAUCAUCGAGUUUUUGAACGCAAGUUGCGCCCGAAGCCUUUUGGCCGAGGGCACGUCUGCCUGGGUGUCAUGC